GCACACAGGAUUAGAUACCCUGGUAGUACACGCCGUAAACUAUGAGCACUAAGUGUCGGAGUAAAAUUCGGUGCUGCAGUUAACACAAUAAGUGCUCCGCCUGGGGAGUACGGUCGCAAGACUGAAACUCAAAGGAAUUGACGGGGACUCGCACAAGCGGUGGAGCAUGCGGUUUAAUUCGAUGCAACGCGAAGAACCUUACCAGGUCUUGACAUACUGUUGACCGGGUUAGAGAUAACCCUUUUCUUCGGAACAACAGAUACAGGUGGUGCAUGGUUGUCGUCAGCUCGUGUCGUGAGAUGUUGGGUUAAGUCCCGCAACGAGCGCCACCCUUAUCAUUAGUUGCUAACAGUCAGAUGAGCACUCUAAUGAGCCCGCCGGCGUAAGCCGGAUGAAGGUGGGGAUGACGUCAAAUCAUCAUGCCCCUUAUGACCUGGGCUACACGCGUGCUACAAUGGCUAGUACAAAGAGUUGCGAAACCGCGAGGUGGAGCUAAUCUCAUAAAGCUAGUCUCAGUUCGGAUUGUAGUCUGCAACUCGACUACAUGAAGU
Molecule: ribosomal RNA, 551 nt
Filed under: uncultured bacterium
Lineage: Bacteria
Description: bacterial SSU rRNA
Rfam family: Bacterial small subunit ribosomal RNA
Source: RNAcentral